CGAGGAAAAGAAAUCAACCGAGAUUCCCCCAGUAGCGGCGAGCGAACGGGGAGGAGCCCAGAGCCUGAAUCAGCAUGUGUGUUAGUGGAAGCGUCUGGAAAGGCGCGCGAUACAGGGUGACAGCCCCGUACACAAAAGCGCAUGUGCUGUGAGCUCGAUGAGUAGGGCGGGACACGUGGUAUCCUGUCUGAAUAUGGGGGGACCAUCCUCCAAGGCUAAAUACUCCUGACUGACCGAUAGUGAACCAGUACCGUGAGGGAAAGGCGAAAAGA
Molecule: ribosomal RNA, 272 nt
Filed under: Salmonella enterica subsp. enterica serovar Indiana
Lineage: Bacteria; Pseudomonadati; Pseudomonadota; Gammaproteobacteria; Enterobacterales; Enterobacteriaceae
Description: partial 23S ribosomal RNA
Rfam family: Bacterial large subunit ribosomal RNA
Source: RNAcentral